RNAcentral lists this ribosomal RNA (477 nucleotides) under uncultured bacterium. RNAcentral's name for it is "partial 16S ribosomal RNA". It matches the Rfam family "Bacterial small subunit ribosomal RNA", at positions 30 to 507 of the family's 1533-position model. The record is from RNAcentral.
AUUGAACGCUGGCGGCAUGCCUUACACAUGCAAGUCGAACGGUAACAGGUUAAGCUGACGAGUGGCGAACGGGUGAGUAAUGUAUCGGAACGUGCCCAGUCGUGGGGGAUAACUGCUCGAAAGAGCAGCUAAUACCGCAUACGACCUGAGGGUGAAAGCGGGGGAUCGGAAGACCUCGCGCGAUUGGAGCGGCCGAUAUCAGAUUAGGUAGUUGGUGAGGUAAAGGCUCACCAAGCCGACGAUCUGUAGCUGGUCUGAGAGGAAGACCAGCCACACUGGGACUGAGACACGGCCCAGACUCCUACGGGAGGCAGCAGUGGGGAAUUUUGGACAAUGGGCGCAAGCCUGAUCCAGCCAUGCCGCGUGCGGGAAGAAGGCCUUCGGGUUGUAAACCGCUUUUGUCAGGGAAGAAAAGGUUCUGGCUAAUACCUGGGACUCAUGACGGUACCUGAAGAAUAAGCACCGGCUAACUACGUG